Molecule: long non-coding RNA, 209 nt
Organism: Physella acuta
Lineage: Eukaryota; Metazoa; Mollusca; Gastropoda; Physidae
Source: RefSeq, a predicted model, not a curated record
CGCGCUGAACCUUCAAACCCACCACCAACCAGCCAAAAACCACAAAAGGCUUCAGAUAAAGGAAAAGGCAAAAACUAACCAGCCUACAGGAACCGUUGUGGCGGAGAAACAUAUUUGAGAUUUUAAUAAAAGUAAUUAUAAAUUCAUUUGAAAUAAUGGUAAUAUUUUCGUUAUUUAAAUUUGUGAAAUGUAAAACAAAUUAAAAAGAU